AUUGAACGCUGGCGGCAGGCCUAACACAUGCAAGUCGAACGGUAACAGGAAGCAGCUUGCUGCUUUGCUGACGAGUGGCGGACGGGUGAGUAAUGUCUGGGAAACUGCCUGAUGGAGGGGGAUAACUACUGGAAACGGUAGCUAAUACCGCAUAACGUCGCAAGACCAAAGAGGGGGACCUUAGGGCCUCUUGCCAUCGGAUGUGCCCAGAUGGGAUUAGCUAGUAGGUGGGGUAACGGCUCACCUAGGCGGCGAUCCCUAGCUGGUCUGAGAGGAUGACCAGCCACACUGGAACUGAGACACGGUCCAGACUCCUACGGGAGGCAGCAGUGGGGAAUAUUGCACACUGGGCGCAAGCCUGAUGCAGCCAUGCCGCGUGUAUGAAGAAGGCCUUCGGGUUGUAAAGUACUUUCAGCGGGGAGGAAGGGAGUAAAGUUAAUACCUUUGCUCAUUGACGUUACCCGCAGAAGAAGCACCGGCUAACUCCGU
Molecule: ribosomal RNA, 489 nt
Filed under: uncultured bacterium
Lineage: Bacteria
Description: partial 16S ribosomal RNA
Rfam family: Bacterial small subunit ribosomal RNA
Source: RNAcentral